UACGUAGGGAGCAAGCGUUGUCCGGAUUUAUUGGGCGUAAAGAGCUCGUAGGCGGCUAAGUAAGUCAGGUAUGAAACCUCCAGGCUCAACCUGGAGACGCCACUUGAUACUGCUUUGGCUUGAGUUCGGUAGGGGUAAGCGGAAUUCCUGGUGUAGCGGUGAAAUGCGCAGAUAUCAGGAGGAACACCAGCGGCGAAGGCGGCGCUCUGGGCCGGUACUGACACUGAGGAGCGAAAGCGUGGGUAGCAAACAGG
This 254-nucleotide ribosomal RNA is filed under the name uncultured bacterium. Its description in RNAcentral is "partial 16S ribosomal RNA". It matches the Rfam family "Bacterial small subunit ribosomal RNA", at positions 524 to 776 of the family's 1533-position model. The record is from RNAcentral.